CUCUGCACCUUAUUUUCCCACGCGGGACGCCUUUUCCCUCUCUCUCUCUCUCUCUCUCUCUCUCUCUCCCAGGUUCAACAUGGGACUUUCCGGUGAAAAUAGCGCCGCCUUCUUAUCGCCGUCUUGUCGCCGCAGUCAUCUCGCCGUCUUGCCGCCCCCGUCUUGUUGCCGCAGUCCAACUUUAUGAAGGUAGAGGCGACCAGUUGUUUGAUUUGGAGGCCUUAAAAUAAUGGGUUGGUGACUAGUUUUUUUAUCAGACUUGAGUCCUUGUUUUCUCACAUUUUACAAGCUCUAUCUAUGGCUAGUUAUAAUUGAUCGGUGCAAAACUGCAAGUGCACAGUAUCGUAAUUUUAUAAUAAAGUGAUAAGAAGAGAAUCGUCCUCA
This is a long non-coding RNA of Carya illinoinensis, 384 nucleotides long. RefSeq lists it as uncharacterized. The transcript is spliced from 2 exons. Lineage: Eukaryota; Viridiplantae; Streptophyta; Magnoliopsida; Fagales; Juglandaceae. The record is from RefSeq and is a predicted model, not a curated record.